AAUUUUCUUCGAUAUUUUUAUACGAAUUUUAAUAAUUUUAUACCUUCGAUCUCUUGGAAAUCUCGUACCGAAAGAUUUGUCAAAAGACCGGCGAUGCAAUCGCGAAUCAAUACCUGUCAAUAGUUUUAAAAUAAACAUUAAUUAGCGAUGUGGGUCUGGAAAUUUUGCUCGACAAAUUUCAUGGCGUACAAAUCAAGCCAAAGUCUCUACAAGGAGAGGAGUUCAUACUUGAGAGAUAUUUCUUUUUUUUCUGGAUAAGAUAAUUCAAUAUAUAAACCAAGCAUUUUACGAGGAUCGAAGCUUUCAAAGACAACAAAUAGCUUUUGCAGCUCCUCCGGUUUGCAGUUGGCCUUGAGCUUCCUCAGAUGCAACCCCUUGCGCCUCUGCUUCUUGUCCACGGCUGGCAAAGCAGCCUCGACGAGAUUCUCCUCGUCGUCCUCGUCGUCCUCCUCGUCCUCGUCCUCUUCAUUCUCGCAGG
Long non-coding RNA from Apis mellifera (honey bee), 478 nucleotides. RefSeq lists it as uncharacterized. Lineage: Eukaryota; Metazoa; Arthropoda; Insecta; Hymenoptera; Apidae. The record is from RefSeq and is a predicted model, not a curated record. The transcript has 3 exons.